This is a non-coding RNA of Pelobates cultripes (western spadefoot toad), 703 nucleotides long. NCBI's taxonomy places the organism in Eukaryota, Metazoa, Chordata, Amphibia, Anura, Pelobatidae. The record is from the annotation of a GenBank genome assembly.
AUGUGAUUAAAGUUCAAUUUACAGAGCAAGAGAUACAAUUGUUUAAAGGACCACUAUAGCUUAAUGAAGUGGUCUGGGUGCCUGGUCCAGCUAGGUUUAACCGUUUUUUCUAUAAACAUAGUAGUUUCAGAGAAACUGCUAUGUUUACACUAGGGUUAAUCCAGCCUCUAGUGGCUGUCUCAUUGACAGCCGCUAGAGGCACUUCCGCACUUCUCACUGUGAAAAUCACAGUGAGAAGACGCCAGCGUCCAUAGGAAAGCAUUGUGAAUGCUUUCCAAUGAUACUGGCUGAAUGCGUGCGCGGCUCUUGCUGCGCAUGCGCAUUCAGCCGAGGAGGCGGAGAGUCCCCCGCCCGGCACUGAAGAAAGAGUUACGUUUAACCCCUUCCACCCCCUAGAGCCUGGCGGGAGGGGCACCCUCAGGGCACUAUAGUGAUCCUUUAAGGUAAAUUACAUCUGACUGAAAGUGAAACCAGUUUUUUUUUUUCAUGCAGGCUGUCAAUCAGAGCCAGGGGAGGUGCGACAAGGCUGCAUAAACAGAAACAAAGUGAUUUAACUCCUAAAUGGCAGUGAAUUGAGCAACCUGAGGUGCAUGAUCUAUACACUAAAACUGCUUCAUGAAGCUAAAGUUGUUUAGGUGACUGUAGCGUCCCUUUAAAAAUACAAAAUUAUAACUAUACUGCUACCAAUAAAACUCACAUUCCC